GCAGAACGCGAAGAACCUUACCAAGGCUUGACAUGGGGAAGACCGGACGAGAGAUCGUCCUUCUCUAGCAAUAGAGCUUCCCACACAGGUGCUGCAUGGCUGUCGUCAGCUCGUGUCGUGAGAUGUUGGGUUAAGUCCCGCAACGAGCGCAACCCUCGUUUCUAGUUGCCAUCAUUCAGUUGGGCCCUCUAGAGAGACUGCCGCGAAUAACGCGGAGGAAGGUGGGGACGACGUCAAGUCAUCAUGGCCCUUACGUCUUGGGCUACACACGUGCUACAAUGGGCGUUACAAAGGGUCGCAAGAGCGCAAGCUGGAGCCAAUCCCCAAAAGCGUCCUCAGUUCAGAUUGAGGUCUGCAACUCGACCUCAUGAAGGUGGAAUCGCUAGUAAUCGCGGAUCAGAACGCCGCGGUGAAUACGUUCCCGGGUCUUGUACACACCG
RNAcentral lists this ribosomal RNA (440 nucleotides) under uncultured bacterium. RNAcentral describes it as "bacterial SSU rRNA". It matches the Rfam family "Bacterial small subunit ribosomal RNA", at positions 954 to 1392 of the family's 1533-position model. The record is from RNAcentral.